UGGGGAAUAUUGCACAAUGGGCGAAAGCCUGAUGCAGCAACGCCGCGUGAGGGACGACGGCCUUCGGGUUGUAAACCUCUUUUAGCAAGGAAGAAGCGAAAGUGACGGUACUUGCAGAAAAAGCGCCGGCUAACUACGUGCCAGCAGCCGCGGUAAUACGUAGGGCGCAAGCGUUAUCCGGAAUUAUUGGGCGUAAAGAGCUCGUAGGCGGUUUGUCGCGUCUGCUGUGAAAACCCGAGGCUCAACCUCGGGCCUGCAGUGGGUACGGGCAGACUAGAGUGCGGUAGGGGAGAUUGGAACUCCUGGUGUAGCGGUGGAAUGCGCAGAUAUCAGGAGGAACACCGAUGGCGAAGGCAGUUCUCUGGGCCGUAACUGACGCUGAGGAGCGAAAGCGUGGGGAGCGAACAGGAUUAGAUACCCUGGUAGUCCACGCCGUAAACGUUGGGCGCUAGAUGUGGGGACCAUUCCACGGUUUCCGUGCUCGCAGCUAACGCAUUAAGCGCCCCGCCUGGGGAGUACGGCCGCAAGGCUAAAACUCAAAGGAAUUGACGGGGUCAUAGCUGUUUCCU
Molecule: ribosomal RNA, 569 nt
Filed under: uncultured bacterium
Lineage: Bacteria
Description: partial 16S ribosomal RNA
Rfam family: Bacterial small subunit ribosomal RNA
Source: RNAcentral